CCGCCCCCAGGACGCGUUGUUCGCUGCCGGAGUUUGGGGUGGCAAGGACCGGGCGCACGGCUGAGAUGCGCUGCCCUCCAGAAUGCGAGCCUGUGCACGCGCCUGCGGAGGGGCCACACUCCCUGCAGCGUCCGCGAUGCGCUGUUCCCGCUGGCGCUCGGCGGGCGCUCCCCUGGGCACAUCGAGGCUCUAGUGACCGCAUUAUGAAUUAGUCCUUUCCUUUUCUCCUCAUGUGAUUGCAGCGAGCGCUCGUCUUGUUUGUAAAUCGUGCUGGCAAGCCCCGUUUUAACCAACUACGAAUUUCAUUUCGGAAUGAAAAAGGAGACGCACUUUCGGACAGGGCAGCGGUUGCCGCCGGUCCUUCCUCUGAGCUACCGGUCCCUAGAAGGAAGACCUGCCUUCGACCGAUCUGGAAAUGAGUCCCAGCUGCAAGCCCAGGGCGGCGGAAGCCCCACGGGCCGAGCCGAAGAAAGACGAGGCGGGGGACGGGGAGCGUAGUGCCGCGUGCCGGGACCCACAACCCCUUUCCCCUGGGCGCUCUUCCCCGAGCGGACAGGAAAAAGCUCUCCUUUGCCGCUGCCCAUCCCCCAGGGCCCAAGCGAUGCUUCCUAACCGCGUGGACGCAGCUUGAUGGGGGAGAAAGAGCUCUGGGAGCAGGGCUUAGAGCCUCGUCUCGCCUCCUGCCAACUCGGUCCGGCAAGGUUCCGAACCUCCCUGAGCCUCAGCUUCCUAAUCUGGCAAACAUGACGACAAAAGUCCUUCUCUUUUAAGGUUGGUGCAAAAAUUAAAUGGCCCUUUACUGUAUAUUUAGAGCACCUGGCUCACGGAUUAGUCACCUCGCUCCUGGGCUCAACAGUGUUCACUGGGUCCUUACAGCAUCACACUGGGAUCCUUAAGGGCAAAGACCAAAAUUAGACCUAGCUUAAUUCCUGGUGUGCAAGUGCUAAGUGUUAUGAAAUGAGUGAGUGACAGGAUGAUCCAGCUAUGAGAAAUAGGAGAGAGUUUGCGGUGGGAUAGAGACUGUACCUUCUUUUUGUAUAAGAUGUUUGGCAGUUGGGGAUAACUUACCGGAAGCAAGCUUAAGAUGCACACGAAAUCCUGACCAAGAGGAUGUAGAAAUUAGAUAUAUGGCCAAGAAUCAGAGAAGCAAAUAAACAGAUCUCAAAUAAAAUGUUUAGUUUUGAGGUUAGAGGUGGGAUAUCAGGGUAACCAGGCAAAAUAACUGAUACAAUAAAUAACUACAUGACAAAUCACUUCUCUCAACAACACAUUUCAAAAAAAAUCACUUUAUUUUAUAACUGCAAGAUUUUCUUCAAACCAGUUUCUUGCUAUUACAAGCUCAAAAACUUAUCCUGCUCUGGUGGCAAACAUUUUGUGACUCAUGCUGUGUAACAAAGACCUGUGUAGACAUUGAGUUGUAUAUUGCUGAUGCUUCUGAACAUAAAGGAAAAGUACAAAA
Molecule: long non-coding RNA, 1459 nt
Filed under: Homo sapiens (human)
Lineage: Eukaryota; Metazoa; Chordata; Mammalia; Primates; Hominidae
Description: non-protein coding lnc-SNRNP200-1:2
Source: RNAcentral